UGGGGAAUAUUGCACAAUGGGCGCAAGCCUGAUGCAGCCAUGCCGCGUGUGUGAAGAAGGCCUUCGGGUUGUAAAGCACUUUCAGCGAGGAGGAAGGUGGUGAGCUUAAUACGCUCAUCAAUUGACGUUACUCGCAGAAGAAGCACCGGCUAACUCCGUGCCAGCAGCCGCGGUAAUACGGAGGGUGCAAGCGUUAAUCGGAAUUACUGGGCGUAAAGCGCACGCAGGCGGUUUGUUAAGUCAGAUGUGAAAUCCCCGGGCUCAACCUGGGAACUGCAUUUGAAACUGGCAAGCUAGAGUCUCGUAGAGGGGGGUAGAAUUCCAGGUGUAGCGGUGAAAUGCGUAGAGAUCUGGAGGAAUACCGGUGGCGAAGGCGGCCCCCUGGACGAAGACUGACGCUCAGGUGCGAAAGCGUGGGGCAGCAAACAGGAUUAGAUACCCUGGUAGUCCACGCUGUAAAACGAUGUCGAUUUUGGAGGUUGUGCCCCUUGAGGCGUGGCUUCCGGAGCUAACGCGUUAAAUCGACCGCCUGGGGAGUACGGCCGCAAGGUUAAAACUUAAAGUGAAUUGACGGGGUCU
RNAcentral lists this ribosomal RNA (579 nucleotides) under uncultured bacterium. RNAcentral's name for it is "partial 16S ribosomal RNA". It matches the Rfam family "Bacterial small subunit ribosomal RNA", at positions 355 to 921 of the family's 1533-position model. The record is from RNAcentral.